This 84-nucleotide transfer RNA is filed under the name uncultured Rhodoluna sp. RNAcentral describes it as "tRNA-Leu". It matches the Rfam family "tRNA". Rfam says of the family: Transfer RNA (tRNA) molecules are approximately 80 nucleotides in length. Their secondary structure includes four short double-helical elements and three loops (D, anti-codon, and T loops). Lineage: Bacteria; Bacillati; Actinomycetota; Actinomycetes; Micrococcales; Microbacteriaceae. The record is from RNAcentral.
GUCCGGGUGGCGGAAUGGUAGACGCGCUAGCUUGAGGUGCUAGUCCUCGCAAGGGGGUAGGGGUUCAAGUCCCCUUUCGGACAC